GCUAGGUUGGCCGAGCGGUCUAAGGCGCCAGGUUUAAGUUCUGGUACAUUAAGUGCGUGGGUUCGAAUCCCACACCUAGCA
Belonocnema kinseyi is the source of this 81-nucleotide non-coding RNA. The record is from the annotation of a RefSeq genome assembly. NCBI's taxonomy places the organism in Eukaryota, Metazoa, Arthropoda, Insecta, Hymenoptera, Cynipidae.